GACGAACGCUGGCGGCGUGCUUAACACAUGCAAGUCGAACGGAAAGGCCCUGCUUUUGUGGGGUGCUCGAGUGGCGAACGGGUGAGUAACACGUGAGUAACCUGCCCUUGACUUUGGGAUAACUUCAGGAAACUGGGGCUAAUACCGGAUAGGAGCUCCUGCUGCAUGGUGGGGGUUGGAAAGUUUCGGCGGUUGGGGAUGGACUCGCGGCCUAUCAGCUUGUUGGUGGGGUAGUGGCUUACCAAGGCUUUGACGGGUAGCCGGCCUGAGAGGGUGACCGGCCACAUUGGGACUGAGAUACGGCCCAGACUCCUACGGGAGGCAGCAGUGGGGAAUAUUGCACAAUGGGCGGAAGCCUGAUGCAGCAACGCCGUGUGCGGGAUGACGGCCUUCGGGUUGUAAACCGCUUUCGCCUGUGACGAAGCGUGAGUGACGGUAAUGGGUAAAGAAGCACCGGCUAACUACGUG
Molecule: ribosomal RNA, 468 nt
Filed under: uncultured bacterium
Lineage: Bacteria
Description: partial 16S ribosomal RNA
Rfam family: Bacterial small subunit ribosomal RNA
Source: RNAcentral